UUGAGCAAUAGUAGCAAAAUAGCCUUCUGCCCACAAAUGGAUUCAGAUUCAGACUCCCAAUCCGACUAUCCUAAAGAGUCCUCUAUUUCCCCUACUCAUCCUAUGCCCGCUAUUCCCCCUAUUGAGGCCAUUUGGGACUGCAUCAAAGAUCCAAUAGAAGAUCAGAUCAUAGCACAGAUUGCAGCUCAAAUAGAAAGGCAACAAGAAGUGUAUAACGAUGUCCAGUUUCGGCGGAGGUAUCGGAUGAGGCGUCAUUUAUUCCUUCAAAUUGUGCAAGCACUAAGUGAUUGGUCUCCUUACUUCCGUCAAAGAAGUGAUGCUGUUGGUAAGCUAGGCUUCUCGCCCUUGCAUAAAUGCACAGUUGCUAUGUGCAUGUUGGCAUAUGGAACUUGUGCAGACAUGUGGGACGAAAAUCUUAGAAUUGCUGAAACUACAAUUAUUGAAUGCUUGAAUAAAUUCUGUGAAGGAGUAAUAGCAAUCUUUGCCAAGAAAUAUCUUAGGAGGCCUAAUAAUGAUGACAUUCAUCGAUUGCUUCAAGUGGGAGAAGCCCGAGGAUUUCCAGGGAUGUUGGGAAGCCUUGACUGUAUGCAUUGGCAAUGGAAAAAUUGUCCAGUGGCAUAGAAAGGGCAAUUUACUCGUGGUGAUUAUAAAAAGGCUACUGUAAUCCUAGAAGCUGUUGCAUCGCAUGACCUUUGGAUAUGGCAUGCUUUUUUGGUGCUGCUGGAUCAAAUAAUGAUAUCAAUGUGUUGAACCAAUCAACAUUGUUCACAGAAGUUCUGCAAGGAAGAGCUCCUAAAGUUCAGUUCAUGGUUAAUGGCAAUCAGUACAACAUGGGCUACUACCUAACAGAUGGAAUUUAUCCAGAGUGGGCGACAUUUGUGAAAUCAGUGCCUAGGCCAUUAAGUGCGAAGGAUAAAUUAUUUGCAGAUAAAUAGGCUGGGGUAAGAAAAGAUGUGGAAUGUGCAUUUGGUGUCCUACAAGCUCGUUUUGCUAUAAUACGAAACCCAACACGUAUGUGGGAAAGGGAAGCACUUUCUCAAAUUAUGUAUACUUGUAUUAUCUUGCAUAAUAUGAUAGUAGAGGAUGAGCGGGAUUCUUAUGGGAAAAGAAAUGAUUAUGACUAUGAUCAGACAAACUCUGCAGCCUUGGUCAAUUAUUAUCAUGGUCCAAUUAAUGAGUUUGCUAGGAUGCUCGAGAUAAACACUGCAAUUCAUGAUCGGUCCAAGCACCGCAGCCUGAAGGCUGACUUGACAGAGCAUAUAUGGCAACGAUUCGGAAGCAAUCAAGAUCAGGAUACUGAUUAGUCUGUCACCAAAUAAGUUUAGUUCUUGUAACACUUGUUUCUUUUAUGUAUUAUGUAAAACAAAAAUUAUUUUUCUCCAUCAUAUUGUGUACGCAUGUUUCCAAGAUGAAAAAUAAAGUGUAUUGUCUCAUUUAAUUUC
Panicum virgatum (switchgrass) is the source of this 1442-nucleotide long non-coding RNA. RefSeq lists it as uncharacterized. The record is from RefSeq and is a predicted model, not a curated record. Lineage: Eukaryota; Viridiplantae; Streptophyta; Magnoliopsida; Poales; Poaceae. The transcript has 2 exons.